This 253-nucleotide ribosomal RNA is filed under the name uncultured bacterium. Its description in RNAcentral is "partial 16S ribosomal RNA". It matches the Rfam family "Bacterial small subunit ribosomal RNA", at positions 524 to 776 of the family's 1533-position model. The record is from RNAcentral.
UACGUAGGGACCGAGCGUUGUCCGGAAUCAUUGGGCGUAAAGAGCGUGUAGGCGGCCUUUUAAGUCCUGCGUGAAAUCCUGCGGCUCAACCGCAGACGGUCGUGGGAAACUGGAAGGCUAGAGUGCGGGAGAGGAGAGUGGAAUUCCCGGUGUAGCGGUGAAAUGCGCAGAUAUCGGGAAGAACACCCGUGGCGAAGGCGGCUCUCUGGAACGCAACUGACGCUGAGACGCGAAAGCUAGGGGAGCAAACAGG